GAUGAACGCUGGCGGCGUGCUUAACACAUGCAAGUCGAACGGAAAGGCCCAAGCUUGCUUGGGUACUCGAGUGGCGAACGGGUGAGUAACACGUGGGUGAUCUGCCCUGCACUUCGGGAUAAGCCUGGGAAACUGGGUCUAAUACCGGAUAGGACCCUUCUUGGAUGUUGUGGUGGAAAGUUUUUUCGGUGUGGGAUGAGCUCGCGGCCUAUCAGCUUGUUGGUGGGGUAAUGGCCUACCAAGGCGUCGACGGGUAGCCGGCCUGAGAGGGUGUACGGCCACAUUGGGACUGAGAUACGGCCCAGACUCCUACGGGAGGCAGCAGUGGGGAAUAUUGCACAAUGGGCGCAAGCCUGAUGCAGCGACGCCGCGUGGGGGAUGACGGCCUUCGGGUUGUAAACUCCUUUCGCUAGGGACGAAGCGUUUUGUGACGGUACCUGGAGAAGAAGCACCGGCUAACUACGUG
This 466-nucleotide ribosomal RNA is filed under the name uncultured bacterium. RNAcentral describes it as "partial 16S ribosomal RNA". It matches the Rfam family "Bacterial small subunit ribosomal RNA", at positions 28 to 507 of the family's 1533-position model. The record is from RNAcentral.